UCCCNGUGUAGAGCAAUGCCAGAGUGGGGA
This 30-nucleotide non-coding RNA is filed under the name Rattus norvegicus (Norway rat). Lineage: Eukaryota; Metazoa; Chordata; Mammalia; Rodentia; Muridae. The record is from RNAcentral.